CAAUAGCGUAUAUUAAAGUUGUUGCAGUUAAAAAGCUCGUAGUUGAAUUUCUGGUCCCGCCGGUCGGCCCUUUCGGUGUCCGAUCCGUGGGAUCAUCCUCACCCUCCGGGGUGUCAUUUACUGUGAAAAAAUUAGAGUGUUUAAAGCAGGCUUUAGGCUUGAAUACAUUAGCAUGGAAUAAUAAGAUAGGACCAGUUUGCUAUUUUGUUGGUUGCGCACAUUGGUAAUGAUUAAUAGGGACAGUUGGGGGUAUUCAUAUUUAAUUGUCAGAGGUGAAAUUCUACGACCUGUUAAAGAUGAACUACUGCGAAAGCAUUUACCAAGGAUGUUUNCAUUAA
RNAcentral lists this ribosomal RNA (338 nucleotides) under uncultured eukaryote. RNAcentral's name for it is "partial 18S ribosomal RNA". It matches the Rfam family "Eukaryotic small subunit ribosomal RNA", at positions 592 to 976 of the family's 1831-position model. The record is from RNAcentral.